This is a long non-coding RNA of Photinus pyralis (common eastern firefly), 689 nucleotides long. RefSeq lists it as uncharacterized. The transcript is spliced from 4 exons. The record is from RefSeq and is a predicted model, not a curated record. Lineage: Eukaryota; Metazoa; Arthropoda; Insecta; Coleoptera; Lampyridae.
AGGGAUCUAAAAGGCAAACCAAUGUAUUGAGUACAGUACUACUGAGUGGGGAUGUGAAAGCAGAAAUACGUAAGGUGACAAAUUGGAGAAUACAAGGUUUGUAGUUGGCUCUGCAUAACUUCACAUCCACUGUCAAAAUCAUACAAAUUUUUCAUUAUCAUUACAAAAUCAUGAACAAAUUAAAUAGUGUAUUAAAAUUGGGGAAUACGAUAAAAAAUGUAAAUUGCAACACAAUUUCUAUCAAAUCAAGCGAUUUUUGGAAAACAUAUAUUCGAGGUGCAAGUAUGUCAUCUGGGAUUAAGAGGGUCGCAAUUAAUAAGAAAUCUACAAGAUAUACCAGUAAAAGGUUCACACGUUGCGUGGAAUGUCAACCUCGAUGCGCAUCUAAGAGACAAAAAGCAGUCGAAGACGCGAGCAAUGUCAUUAAUGAUGAAUGUAAGCCAACUCCGGUCCCAAAGAAAAUUGAUGAAUGUGAAAUUAAAAUUGCGAAAUCUUGCACGCCAAAUCCAUGUGAAUUUGUUUGUUCUGGCGUGCUAGUGAAAGACACAAGUCAGUGUCCUGAGGAACCAAUAGCACAGGUGCCAAAAGGAAACUGGAGCAAACGCAAUCCCUAAUAUUUCCAUUUUAAACCUUUAAAAAAAUUGCAAAACAAAUCCAUUUUUCAAAAUAAAAAAGUAUAAUGCAAUAAA